RNAcentral lists this ribosomal RNA (872 nucleotides) under marine metagenome. RNAcentral's name for it is "bacterial SSU rRNA". It matches the Rfam family "Bacterial small subunit ribosomal RNA", at positions 273 to 1163 of the family's 1533-position model. The record is from RNAcentral.
ACUGUGAUCAAUAGCUGAUUUGAGAGGAUGAUCAGCCACAUUGGGACUGAGACACGGCCCAAACUCCUACGGGAGGCAGCAGUGGGGAAUCUUGCACAAUGGAGGAAACUCUGAUGCAGCGAUGCCGCGUGAGUGAAGAAGGCCCUUGGGUUGUAAAGCUCUUUCGUCGGGGAAGAAAAUGACUGUACCCGAAUAAGAAGGUCCGGCUAACUUCGUGCCAGCAGCCGCGGUAAUACGAAGGGACCUAGCGUAGUUCGGAAUUACUGGGCUUAAAGAGUUCGUAGGUGGUUGAAAAAGUUGGUGGUGAAAUCCCAGAGCUUAACUCUGGAACUGCCAUCAAAACUUUUCAGCUAGAGUUUGAUAGAGGAAAGCAGAAUUUCUAGUGUAGAGGUGAAAUUCGUAGAUAUUAGAAAGAAUACCAAUUGCGAAGGCAGCUUUCUGGAUCAUUACUGACACUGAGGAACGAAAGCAUGGGUAGCGAAGAGGAUUAGAUACCCUCGUAGUCCAUGCCGUAAACGAUGUGUGUUAGACGUUGGAAAUUUAUUUUCAGUGUCGCAGCGAAAGCGAUAAACACACCGCCUGGGGAGUACGACCGCAAGGUUAAAACUCAAAUGAAUUGACGGGGACCCGCACAAGUAGUGGAGCAUGUGGUUUAAUUCGAAGAUACGCGCAGAACCUUACCAACACUUGACAUGUUCGUCGCGACUUUAAGAGAUUAAAGUUUUCGGUUCGGCCGGACGAAACACAGGUGCUGCAUGGCUGUCGUCAGCUCGUGUCGUGAGAUGUUGGGUUAAGUCCCGCAACGAGCGCAACCCUCACUUUUAGUUGCCAUCAUUAAGUUGGGCACUCUGAAAGAACUGCCAGUGAUAAGC